AUCGCUUCUCGGCCUUUUGGCUAAGAUCAAGUGUAGAACAAAGGCGUUAACUGUCCCCUUUUGGGGUGCAUCACGGCGUGUGCCGAACCCGCCUAUCCAGUGGUUCUAUGGGUUCCCACUGACAUGGGCAUGCCUC
Molecule: small nuclear RNA, 136 nt
Filed under: Cervus elaphus hippelaphus
Lineage: Eukaryota; Metazoa; Chordata; Mammalia; Artiodactyla; Cervidae
Also listed under: 1 other name
Description: U2 spliceosomal RNA
Rfam family: U2 spliceosomal RNA
About the family: U2 is a small nuclear RNA (snRNA) component of the spliceosome (involved in pre-mRNA splicing). Complementary binding between U2 snRNA (in an area lying towards the 5' end but 3' to hairpin I) and the branchpoint sequence (BPS) of the intron results the bulging out of an unpaired adenosine, on the BPS, which initiates a nucleophilic attack at the intronic 5' splice site, thus starting the first of two transesterification reactions that mediate splicing.
Source: Rfam by way of RNAcentral